This is a long non-coding RNA of Alosa sapidissima (American shad), 215 nucleotides long. RefSeq lists it as uncharacterized. Lineage: Eukaryota; Metazoa; Chordata; Actinopteri; Clupeiformes; Clupeidae. The transcript is spliced from 2 exons. The record is from RefSeq and is a predicted model, not a curated record.
CCUGGCUCCAACCUACUCAAUAACCAGCCUACAGACUGUUUGAGCUGGUCCAUACAUUUUCUUUUUAUUGAGAGUGAGAGAGAGAGAGAGUGAGAGAGAGAGAGAGAUUCCAGUCACACUGCACCAACACACAGCGGCAGACACUGACAGAGAGCAUUAGUGUGAUGAGGCGAAAGAGCAAGAGGAGGGCGGAGAAAACCCAUCCGAGAGAAAAG